Molecule: long non-coding RNA, 1221 nt
Organism: Morus notabilis
Lineage: Eukaryota; Viridiplantae; Streptophyta; Magnoliopsida; Rosales; Moraceae
Exons: 6
Source: RefSeq, a predicted model, not a curated record
GCUUAUGCUAAAUUUUGUAAAUUUUUUGUUGAUGUGGAUGUGGGCUCUGAGAUGAGGCCAUUAAGGAAUGGAAAUUGCGUGGAGUAACCUCCUCUCCUCUUUCUUAGGGGUUUUUUUUUGGAUAAUUUCUCCUUUUUUUUUAUGUAGGUAAAAUGAAAUUAAAACGCCUCUCUUUGUUGUUUUUUUUUUCGUUUAAUUUUUCCCUUGGAUUCUGAGGUUGGGGAUUUUAUGAUUGUUAAUACGCUGUGUCGUAUGGACGGGUGGAACAGUUAACAUUUUGGUUUCUAUUUUAGUUGGUAUGGAAUAUGCAUGUUUGUUGACUAUUUGAAAUUGUGGUAGACAAUCUAAAGGACUAACAAUGAUGGAAAUGCAAUCAUUGAAAAAUCUACAAAAUACCAGUUGGAGCAUUUAAGGAUUUUUGGUAGAAACUAGCUUGCAGGUUACACUUAAUUUUAAUAUUCUAUACUUGACCAUGUUUUGAAAGGAGUUGGUAUAGUUUUUGAGCUAACAAUUCAUUGACCUUUGGUUGAUUGCUUGUGGGACAUUUUGUGAGAUACCUGGCUAGAAAAUUAUACUCAAAAUCAGAUCUCCACCGGGCAUCUUAAAGGAUACUCCUUACGGCGAGGACUCUUGUGAUCGCACUCGAAAUGUUGUUUUUAAGGAAAUUGUGGCGUUGACAAACUAAAAAAAGGUACAAUCUUAUUGGAGUCUUACGGCGUGUUAUUCACAAAAGUGAUCAAUAUAAAUAACCAACCUCCUUGGCUAAGGUGGUUCUGAAAGUAUGCCUCUAGAGAUCAAAUGUUCUCGUGGUUCUCUCAGUAUCUGCCCCCAAUUGGUGAUGAACUCUGACAAUCGUCGAACAGGAUGUCCGGAGAUGAGUUUUUUUAGAGGGAGUAAAGGAAGAAGUUAUCGGGCGCCCUUGAGGAGAUGUCUACAGCUGGAGAGGAAGGUUUAUUUAUUUGUCAAAAAUUGAUGAGACUCGUGCUAGGAAAAAAGCUUUUUGAUGUAAUAGGUAUUGUUAUUGUGGAAGAAUGUGUUUUACACAUUAGGAAAGUUUGAAUAUAAUAGUUAGUUUUCCUAGAAUUAGGUUGAUUUGGUUAGUUUCCCUUUUUAGUGUGAUAUCCCAUAGAUUAUGGGAUGUGAUUGCCGUUUCUAAAGGCUAGGACUCCUGUAUAUAAACCGGUUGUAAUUGUCAUGCAAUAAUACAAUUUUUCCUCUCAA